RNAcentral lists this unclassified non-coding RNA (258 nucleotides) under Hevea brasiliensis (rubber tree). The record is from RNAcentral. Lineage: Eukaryota; Viridiplantae; Streptophyta; Magnoliopsida; Malpighiales; Euphorbiaceae.
GGGUCAUCCAUCUCAGUUUGAGAAUUGGACUUGAGUUGAGAAUCUGCUGAAAAAUAUCUCUUUACAACACCCUCUUUAACAACACUUGAUUCUUCACUUCCAUUUGGCUGUUCAUGUUUCUCGGAGAGGUCAGAAGCAGCAUUGCCAUUGUGAUACACAAAAUCAGAAAACCUUGGAGAAACCCCAGUUGAAAAAGAUCCAUUUUGAGAAAAAACAUCUUGUACACUAUGAAAAUCAUCCUCACAGUCAGAUUCAACC